AUUGAACGCUGGCGGCAGGCCUAACACAUGCAAGUCGAACGGUAACAGGAAGAAGCUUGCUUCUUUGCUGACGAGUGGCGGACGGGUGAGUAAUGUCUGGGAAACUGCCUGAUGGAGGGGGAUAACUACUGGAAACGGUAGCUAAUACCGCAUAAUGUCGCAAGACCAAAGAGGGGGACCUUCGGGCCUCUUGCCAUCGGAUGUGCCCAGAUGGGAUUAGCUAGUAGGUGGGGUAACGGCUCACCUAGGCGACGAUCCCUAGCUGGUCUGAGAGGAUGACCAGCCACACUGGAACUGAGACACGGUCCAGACUCCUACGGGAGGCAGCAGUGGGGAAUAUUGCACAAUGGGCGAAAGCCUGAUGCAGCUAUGCCGCGUGUAUGAAGAUGGCCUUCGGGUUGUAAAGUACUUUAAGCGGGGAGGAAGGGAGUAACGUUAAUACCUUUGCUCAUUGACGUUACCCGCAGAAGAAGCACCGGCUAACUCCGUG
Molecule: ribosomal RNA, 490 nt
Filed under: uncultured bacterium
Lineage: Bacteria
Description: partial 16S ribosomal RNA
Rfam family: Bacterial small subunit ribosomal RNA
Source: RNAcentral